AUUUUUAUUUAUCAAUAUCUCUGUAUGAAAAUGGGUAUUAAUGCUCUGUAUAUUAUGGACAUAUUCUCUAUACAGUUAUAUUAAAGCGGUCAGUGCAGAAACGCGCGGGAAUACAGUUAUAUCAAAGCGGUCAGUAGACGAAACACGCGGAAGCGAGGAACGCGCGCGCGAAAAAUAAGGGAAAAGAGGAAAGGGUUGAAACAUUGACGAGCCACUGAUUAGUGUGUUAAAAUAUACGCGAUCGUGAUCUUGUUUUGGAGGG
Non-coding RNA from Paramuricea clavata, 262 nucleotides. Lineage: Eukaryota; Metazoa; Cnidaria; Anthozoa; Malacalcyonacea; Plexauridae. The record is from the annotation of a GenBank genome assembly.